RNAcentral lists this ribosomal RNA (234 nucleotides) under Klebsiella pneumoniae. Its description in RNAcentral is "partial 16S ribosomal RNA". It matches the Rfam family "Bacterial small subunit ribosomal RNA", at positions 347 to 578 of the family's 1533-position model. The record is from RNAcentral. Lineage: Bacteria; Pseudomonadati; Pseudomonadota; Gammaproteobacteria; Enterobacterales; Enterobacteriaceae.
GGCAGCAGUGAGGAAUAUUGGACAAUGGGCGCAAGCCUGAUCCAGCCAUGCCGCGUGCAGGAUGACGGUCCUAUGGAUUGUAAACUGCUUUUGUACAGGAAGAAACACUCCCUCGUGAGGGAGCUUGACGGUACUGUAAGAAUAAGGAUCGGCUAACUCCGUGCCAGCAGCCGCGGUAAUACGGAGGAUCCAAGCGUUAUCCGGAAUCAUUGGGUUUAAAGGGUCCGUAGGCGG